This 449-nucleotide ribosomal RNA is filed under the name uncultured bacterium. Its description in RNAcentral is "bacterial SSU rRNA". It matches the Rfam family "Bacterial small subunit ribosomal RNA", at positions 28 to 524 of the family's 1533-position model. The record is from RNAcentral.
GAUGAACGCUGGCGAGAUGCUUUACACAUGCAAGUCGUACGAGAGUUUUAAACUCAAGUGGCGGACGGGUGAGUAACACGUAAGAAUUUACCUUUAGGAGGGGGACAACAGACAGAAAUGACUGCUAAUACCCCAUAUGCUUUCGAGUGAAAUGGAUUUUUCCGCCUAGAGAGAAGCUUGCGGCUGAUUAGCUUGUUGGUAAGGUAAUGGCUUACCAAGGCGACGAUCAGUAUCUGGUUUGAGAGGAUGAUCAGACACACUGGAACUGAGACACGGUCCAGACUCCUACGGGAGGCAGCAGUGGGAAUUUUCCGCAAUGGGCGAAAGCCUGACGGAGCAAUCUCGCGUGAGGGAUGACUGCCUAUGGUUGUAACCUCUUUUUCAGGUAGGAUAAUGACGUGUACCUGAAGAUAAGCAUCGGCUAACUCCGUGCCAGCCGCCGCGGUAAU